UGUAGUGCUGAUGAAAACUGGUGUCAACAGUAUAAAGUACAAUGGAUUACAAGGUUUCUGCAACUCAGAGCUAAAA
This is a small nucleolar RNA of Protopterus annectens (West African lungfish), 76 nucleotides long. RefSeq annotates it as small nucleolar RNA SNORD113/SNORD114 family. The transcript has a single exon. NCBI's taxonomy places the organism in Eukaryota, Metazoa, Chordata, Ceratodontiformes, Protopteridae. The record is from RefSeq and is a predicted model, not a curated record.